Non-coding RNA from Malus domestica (apple), 1427 nucleotides. Lineage: Eukaryota; Viridiplantae; Streptophyta; Magnoliopsida; Rosales; Rosaceae. The record is from RefSeq and is a predicted model, not a curated record.
CAAAUCUAAACCCGCCCUUUAUUUGCUUCAUUAAUUCGUCAUCUACCUCUCAUUCACUCUCGGAUGACAAAUCUCCUCUCUCUCCCUCUCUCGCUCUCUCUCUCUCUCUCUCAUCAAAUUUCAAGUUUCAAGCGAUCGAUCAAUGGCGUUUCAGCGUUCCUCGUUCUCAUUCCGAACAUCGGACUUCUGGGUCUCUGUGAAGCUGCAGGGAUUCCACGCCCGCCGGACCCUAAGUCCCAAUUCGUCGGCGAGCUUUCUCUCCGUCAGGACCAGAUUCAUCAAAAGCGCUUCCAUACCCAUGUUCUGGAUGAAUUCCCACUCGGUCCCGACCGGUACGCCACGCUUCGUUUUUCUCCCCGCCAACUCGUACACUCAGAAUUGCACGCCCACUUACGCUCUCUCUCCUCUUCCCUCAGCCUCGAUCCUUCCAUCUACGAGCGUUAGCACCCUAUAUCAAAUCUAUGGCCUUGAAACUUGCAAAUCGUAAUGGCUCGCUGGGAUUCAUCAUGGCGGCUCAACUUGAAAUCCUGUCUAUUGAUUAUGUCGACGACCUGUUCGAUGAUUUGUCUGACUCAAUGGGUUUACUUGCAAUUGGUAGUAGCAAUGGAGGUUUGACCUCAUCAUCGUUCUCAUUGGAUUUUGUGGUUGAGAAAUUGGGGGCGGAGAGAAUUUUUGAAAGGGGUGAUGGCGACUUGGGUACUUAGUAUAUGUUUGGAGGAACUGUCGGACGGGAAAGUGAGUGAGCUCAUUCGGAUGCCGUGCUCUCACGUCUAUCACCCAUCUUGCAUCCUUCGCUGGUUCAACAUGGAGAAGAAGACGUGCCCCAACUGCCGAUGUCAAUUCCAUGCCCAAGAUCUUCCAGUAGAAAGAAAGCAUGAUACCAUGGCUGGUUCUGGUUUUGAAAAAGCGGAGGACUGAAAGAAGACUUAUUAAAGGUAAGGAAAUUGUUACCUGAUUUGCGGUCAAAGCAGCUUCUUGUAAUUAUUACUUUUUGUUUCCUUUGUAGUUUUCUCCUGGAAAUUUGAUCUCAUAAAGAAUACUUUAGUAAAGUUUCAUUUCUUCCUGAAGCAUAGAGAAGAACAUCCUUCAGAUGUUGGGUUUCGACUUACGUCAUGGAUCUUAGGUCUUUGUGUUCUAUCUGUUUCGUCAUUAUCAUGACAGCAAAGAUGUUCUUCCUUGUACAAGAUCCCUCAUUGAUACUCAAGCUUCUUCUGGUGAGGAAACUUCUACAGUCUGCUGCUUUGGUUAGAUGUCACUUCUUAAAUGCCUUCAACCACACAUGAAUGUUGAACAUAUUUUGUAUUCGGAAGAUAUCAACGCCAUAUGGUUCCCCAUCGAAUAUGGUGUUUUCCAUGUUUUUUCGUAUGUUUGUGGUGCUUUGAUACUAUUACCAAUUCACAUGUUCUCUUUGACAGAUUCUCAAAAAA